CGUUUUGGCACCCCCGGCUACACGCCGAUCGUGCUCAUCGACGGCCCGGUGACGCCUCAGGAGAAGGCUGCCUACUACGCGGCCGCCGAGUGCUGCGUCGUGAGCGCCGUGCGCGACGGGCUCAACCGGAUUCCCUACAUCUACACGGUGUGCCGGCAGGAGAGCACCGCGCUCGGAGACGACGCGCCCAAGCGGAGCGUCAUCGUGCUCUCCGAGUUCGUCGGUUGCUCCCCGUCCCUGAGCGGCGCGAUCCGCGUCAACCCCUGGAGCGUGGAGUCCGUCGCGGAGGCCAUGAACGCCGCGCUGCGGAUGUCCGAGGCCGAGCAGCGGCUGCGGCACGAGAAGCACUACAAGUACGUGAGCACCCACGACGUCGCCUACUGGGCGCGGUCCUUCGACUCGGACCUGCAGCGCGCCUGCAAGGACCAUUUCUCGCGCCGGCAUUGGGGGAUCGGGUUCGGCAUGAGCUUCAAGGUGGUGGCCCUUGGCCCCAAUUUCCGGCGGCUCUCCGUGGAGCACAUUGUCCCGUCAUAUCGUAGGACGGAGAACCGGC
This 553-nucleotide long non-coding RNA is filed under the name Sorghum bicolor (sorghum). RNAcentral describes it as "long non-coding RNA (SBIC_LNC007475)". Lineage: Eukaryota; Viridiplantae; Streptophyta; Magnoliopsida; Poales; Poaceae. The record is from RNAcentral.